ACGGAAGCAAUAAAAAAAAAUUGAAAGAAAGACUUAGCUCAUGCAGAACCACGUGGACGUGCUAGCUCUAACUACCAAAUGAUAGGAACGUCCUUCAAUCUUCAAGAAGGAGUGGCUCCUUGAUCCAGAAUGACGCAGCGGAAUGGAAAACGAAGUUGAUGGAUGCAGUGCACGGCAGGUGUUUGAUAAAAUGUUUGGACGUGUUUGGAUGAAGGUGUAGAUAGAAUUCUAGCUCAGAAGGCUUUCCUAAGGGGAAAGAAGCUAGAGGAUGCAAAGCUAAAGCUAGCAAAGAGUUUGAACUUGAGAGAAGUGACUGAAUUUUGACAGCAUAACACUAAUUUCAUUCAAGUUGAUUUACAAGAGAUGAAGCUUCUCUUUU
Molecule: long non-coding RNA, 379 nt
Filed under: Vigna radiata
Lineage: Eukaryota; Viridiplantae; Streptophyta; Magnoliopsida; Fabales; Fabaceae
Description: long non-coding RNA (VRAD_LNC015005)
Source: RNAcentral